GAAAGGCCAAUCAAACCGGGAGAUAGCUGGUUCUCCCCGAAAGCUAUUUAGGUAGCGCCUCGUGAACUCAUCUUCGGGGGUAGAGCACUGUUUCGGCCAGGGGGUCAUCCCGACUUACCAACCCGAUGCAAACUGCGAAUACCGAAGAAUGUUAUCACGGGAGACACACGGCGGGUGCUAACGUCCGUCGUGAAGAGGGAAACAACCCAGACCGCCAGCUAAGGUCCCAAAGUCAUGGUUAAGUGGGAAACGAUGUGGGAAGGCCCAGACAGCCAGGAUGUUGGCUUAGAAGCAGCCAUCAUUUAAAGAAAGCGUAAUAGCUCACUGGUCGAGUCGGCCUGCGCGGAAGAUGUAACGGGGCUAAACCAUGCACCGAAGCUGCGGCAGCGA
RNAcentral lists this ribosomal RNA (390 nucleotides) under Trabulsiella odontotermitis. RNAcentral's name for it is "bacterial LSU rRNA". It matches the Rfam family "Bacterial large subunit ribosomal RNA", at positions 823 to 1211 of the family's 2925-position model. Lineage: Bacteria; Pseudomonadati; Pseudomonadota; Gammaproteobacteria; Enterobacterales; Enterobacteriaceae. The record is from RNAcentral.